Neopsephotus bourkii (Bourke's parrot) is the source of this 199-nucleotide long non-coding RNA. RefSeq lists it as uncharacterized. NCBI's taxonomy places the organism in Eukaryota, Metazoa, Chordata, Aves, Psittaciformes, Psittacidae. The transcript is spliced from 2 exons. The record is from RefSeq and is a predicted model, not a curated record.
GAAGGAAUAAAAGAAAACUAAGAGAAAUAGGAUCAUCACCCCAUGGAUGCAGCAGUGUCUUCUCAUGCUCACUCCCUGGCAGACAACUCCAUGUGUCUCACUUGGUAUUGCUGGUGGAAAGUACUGAAAGAAUGAGGACAAUCAUCUCUUCUAAGUGGAAAGAAAAACAAAACAAACAACAAAAAAUACCCCAACAAAA